CAGGCUACGGUAUUCCACCGCUCAUCUCCCUCUCGUGCUACCGUAUCCCUUCCCCGUUUCACCUCUCCGCCCCUGGUUACCGCUCCACUGAACAGAGCAGAAAGCAGUAUUACCGAAUACACUUACGUGAUUGUAGCCCUAAGCGCUGCGGUUGGUCUUGCUUUUUCCGAGGCAUUUUCCUUCUUUUUUUUUUACAUUCUUCUUCUCAGGUCUGUGGGGUGAAACGUGUAUCCUUAUCUUCGUUGGAACGAAAGGAUACUCCGGGACUCCCGUGUAGAGUGUCCUCGUUGGUUAGUAGGGUAGAUCCGGGGACUGUCGCGAGCACUGACCGGGGCAGUGGCCGUGCCUGCUGCUUCCCGCGGCUCUGCUCUCUCUCUCUCUGUGCAGUGUGUGUGUGUGUGUGUGUGUGUACAACCAAUAAUGGAGAAAGAUCAAAGGGCAAAAGAGCAGCAGAGGAGACUCACACAGAUAGAGAGACGGGAAGGAGAGGAGAGAGAAGGAGAGGAGAGAGAAGGUGAGAGAGGAGAGGGAAGG
Oncorhynchus tshawytscha (Chinook salmon) is the source of this 534-nucleotide long non-coding RNA. NCBI's taxonomy places the organism in Eukaryota, Metazoa, Chordata, Actinopteri, Salmoniformes, Salmonidae. The record is from Ensembl.